This 1276-nucleotide long non-coding RNA is filed under the name Vitis vinifera (wine grape). Its description in RNAcentral is "long non-coding RNA (VVIN_LNC003736)". Lineage: Eukaryota; Viridiplantae; Streptophyta; Magnoliopsida; Vitales; Vitaceae. The record is from RNAcentral.
AUGGAAACCAAGAAAUGAUGCUUCCUUCUGACUUAAAGAUGUUCUUAUUAUGACAAACCCUAGCCAUUCUAUGAUUUUCUAACGAAGGAGUUAUGUUUAUUGCAAUGUGAACACCAUUUUCUAUGGCCAGGUCUCGAAACCUAGUUUGAUUUUCAGAGUGCUAGUGAAUGUGGAUCAAUGUGCAUUAUGAUUUCUAUUUUCUAUUACCCAAUCCUUUAGCCAAAAGGGUUUAACAAAUUUUCUGUCUUCCUCAGAUUGGUGCAGUCUUUCAUGCGUGCAAUCUUUGAAGUCCAUGGCUGGGCAAAGACGAACAAAGGUGACAAAAAAGAAAAGAAGGUGGGGAGAAAAGAAGAAACAACAUAUAUAUUAUACUUCUGCAAUGCCUUUACUUUUGCAUAAAUAUCAAAUACAUGGUGUUUAGGUCAAUAACUGUAAAGGUAGGAACUUUAUUCGUUGCUUGGCCUUCAUUCUUUAUCUAUUAGAUAAGAACUAUUUUAAACUAUCUUCCUUUUUCCUAUUUAAUGGCUAUAUUCCCAAGAAACAAACAACACCAUUAAACAGGAAAGUGAAACCCAAAUGUAAUUCUGAGUAUCAUCUUUGAUAACUGCAAUACAUGGUUUUUUUUCUUCUGACAUUCAUUCUACAGAGAGAAACAGAGACAGAAUUAGAUAUCUAAUUCCAAUUAGCAAAGAUAUAACUAGGGUUUCUAGGAAUCAAUGGGCAUCUACAAGUAAUCUAUUAAUCAAAACCUAAGAUGGGAAAACUUUUCUGGUGAAGAAAUUCUUGUUGGCUUACUGGUUCAAAUGGUGAUUUCGUGUUCUUCAUGCAAUCGUUGUGUCAGACAAGCCCAAUUUAGGCGGCUGAUGGGCAUGGGAAUCACUUUUCUCCACCUCCAAGAUUCAGUGGGAAUCCCUUGUCCCUGACCUGAUUCUCAUUGUUUCCAGCCAUUCCAGAGCACAGAGGAGCUGAUUCUUCACUUGUCUACAACCAAACGACAUCGUUUUGUCCAACUUCAUCUCUUUCCUACCACAUGCUCUGGACCUAAGAGGAGCAAAUCAAACCUUUCAUUUUGGCAGGAUGGAAGAAACGGAGAAACUUUCGGUGAGGGCUUUCUCAGUCUUGGUUUCCCCUUGGUAACUACUUUCCCCAUUGAUGAUAUUCUUAAUUUCGUUUUCUACGUUUAUUUUUGGAUACUAGAAAAAAGAUGAUAACAUCAGAGUGUUUUAAUAUAACUUUGUUAACUCACGGGUGAAGUGGGCAUUCAAAUAAAAACGAC